CGGAACGGAGGCCAAGACGCAGCGUGAACCGCAGAGGUGAGGCCAUUUCCGGGUAACGUUCGGCCACAACGCUUGCACCCCAGGCUUCCCUGGCCCAGGGCAAGGACAGCCGCAGACUGCGUAACUCCAGCUGCUAAGGCAGACUCCAGAAGCUCAGCUGCCCUCCGCGCCGAGGCCGCAGUGCUGUGCAGAAGUGCACCUGGCUGCACACACUGAAGAGCAACCGGCACCGAAACACAGCGUGCUGAGGGCUGACCUCCACUCAGGAGCGAAGAGAGCGAACAAACCCCCAUGUCAGUUGGCAGAGCCUGGGCCACCUACACGUUCCGAACCUCUCGGGGCCUCAGUGUCUCUCGGUGUAUAUUUGGAAUUAAAGAUGGGCGAGACCAAAAUAUGAAACAAGGGAGCCCACCCUAGAGAAACAACCACCACUGCAGACCCCAGCGGGCUACUGUGACGUACACCGGCUUCUCUUCCUAGCGAGCCAGAAUCAUUCUGAGAGACCAGCGAUGAAGCCCACCCGGCAUACACCGCUCUGAACCCGGGAAGCGGGCAGGCUCGUCCUGCAAGUACUUAGUCCCAACGCUCACGUAUUUUACCCAGCCAACUGCUCAUUUUGCUGCGUGAACUUGCCUGUCCAACCGGAGAGUGCGCUUCUCUGUCCUCAGCAGGAGAUGGCGACAGAGCUCCACCCCAGUCCCUGAAGACUGGCUAAAAAGCAGGAACGGGAAAAAGCGAAAAGGAAGGGAAAGGAGGAGUGGAGGGAUCAGAAAUGACUUCUGUCAACAAACUCUUAGGAAGGGAGAAAUAAAACCACUGGUUUCAGUCUUUAGAACUGAGCUCUCAUUCUAGCCCAUUGAGAAGCACAAGAGGACAAAAUGCAGAAAAACCCCUGACAUCCAAAUUUGCAACAAAUAAGUGGGAGAUACAGAAUCUAUUCCUAAUCUUAAGCCCAGAUAAAACACCACUGACUUGUUAGCCGUCUACCGUGAGCCGUGAGUUGUUCUUAGGGUUUCUCUGCAGACCCUGGGCAAGCAAACCUCUCAGCAAUGCCCCCACUUCUGUGCUCAGAGCUCUGUCUUCUGUUUAAAAGGAGCGUCCAGGAACAGGGUCUCCUGGUCCCCGGCCCCAGCUGAGUAGAGCCGGUGCUCAUGAAAAUUCCUCUCCCACUGGGGAAGCCACAGCCACUUGCCCCAG
RNAcentral lists this long non-coding RNA (1197 nucleotides) under Heterocephalus glaber (naked mole-rat). RNAcentral describes it as "lncRNA (ENSHGLG00000030931.2)". The record is from RNAcentral. Lineage: Eukaryota; Metazoa; Chordata; Mammalia; Rodentia; Bathyergidae.